UGGGUCCUGCGGCUUUCCUUGUGUA
This 25-nucleotide non-coding RNA is filed under the name Rattus norvegicus (Norway rat). Lineage: Eukaryota; Metazoa; Chordata; Mammalia; Rodentia; Muridae. The record is from RNAcentral.